RNAcentral lists this ribosomal RNA (207 nucleotides) under uncultured bacterium. RNAcentral's name for it is "partial 16S ribosomal RNA". It matches the Rfam family "Bacterial small subunit ribosomal RNA", at positions 568 to 774 of the family's 1533-position model. The record is from RNAcentral.
CGUGUAGGCGGCCAAGCAAGUCAGAGGUGAAAGCCCUGGGCUCAACCUGGGAACUGCCUUUGAAACUGUUUGGCUUGAGACCGGAAGAGGAUGGCGGAAUUCCCAGUGUAGAGGUGAAAUUCAUAGAUAUUGGGAAGAACACCGGUGGCGAGGGCGGCCAUCUGGUCCGGUUCUGACGCUGAGGCGCGAAAGCGUGGGGAGCAAACA